RNAcentral lists this ribosomal RNA (254 nucleotides) under uncultured bacterium. RNAcentral's name for it is "partial 16S ribosomal RNA". It matches the Rfam family "Bacterial small subunit ribosomal RNA", at positions 524 to 776 of the family's 1533-position model. The record is from RNAcentral.
CACGUAGGGAGCAAGCGUUGUCCGGAUUUAUUGGGCGUAAAGAGCUCGUAGGUGGUUCGGUAAGUCGGGUGUGAAAACUCUGGGCUCAACUCAGAGACGCCACCCGAUACUGCUGUGACUCGAGUCUGGUAGGGGAGUGUGGAAUUCCCAGUGUAGCGGUGAAAUGCGCAGAUAUUGGGAGGAACACCAGUGGCGAAGGCGGCACUCUGGGCCAGUACUGACACUGAGGAGCGAAAGCGUGGGCAGCGAACAGG